This is a long non-coding RNA of Arabidopsis thaliana (thale cress), 234 nucleotides long. RefSeq annotates it as other RNA. Lineage: Eukaryota; Viridiplantae; Streptophyta; Magnoliopsida; Brassicales; Brassicaceae. The transcript has a single exon. The record is from RefSeq.
AUAUAUAAUAUAUAAGCCGCCAAGAGCCAAUUCCAUCUUGUGGAUCACUAAACCAGUAUUUUUGGGGUUUGAAUCUCACGUUCUCCAUUAAAGAAUAAGGACAUGCAAGUAAGCAAAAACAAGUUCCAUAUAAGCAGAACCAUAUUCCGGAGGACUGCAACUUUCAAAAUGUAAUAUAUAGCGGAAUCAUCUGUUUAUAUACAGAAAAGUAGGGUUCAAGCCUUUCGACUUCAG